Non-coding RNA from Solanum lycopersicum (tomato), 3015 nucleotides. Lineage: Eukaryota; Viridiplantae; Streptophyta; Magnoliopsida; Solanales; Solanaceae. The record is from Rfam.
GAUUCAAACAAGAAAAGCUUACGGUGGAUACCUAGGCACCCAGAGAUGAGGAAGGGCGUAGUAAUCGAUGAAAUGCUUUGGGGAGUUUAAAAUAAGCAUAGAUCCGGAGAUUCUUGAAUAGCGAAACCUUUUAAACUGCUGCUGAAUCCAUGGGCAGGCAAAAGACAACCUGGCGAACUGAAACAUCUUAGUAGUUAGAGGAAAAGAAAGCAAAAACGUUUCCCAUAGUAGCGGUGAGCGAAAUGGGAGCAUCCUAAAUUGUGAAAAUGGGGUUGUGGGAAAGCAAUACAAGUGUCGUGCUGCUAGGCGAAGCAUCCUUAAUGCUGCACCCUACAUGGCGAAAGUCUAGUAGCCAAAAGCAUAACUAGCUUAGCUCUGACCCGAGUAGCAUGGGGCACGUGGAAUCCCCUAUGAAUCAGAAAGGACCACCUUGCAAGCCUAAAUACUCCUGGGUGACCGAUAGUUUAGUAGUACUGUGAGGGAAGGGUGAAAAGAACCCCCACCGGGGAGUGAAAUAGAACAUGAAACCAUAAGUUCCCAAGUAGUGGGAUGAGCCAAGGCUCUGACCAUGUGCCUGUUGAAGAAUGAGCCGAUAACUCAUAGGUAAUGGCUUUGUUAAGGGAACCCACCAGAGCCGUAGCGAAAUCAUGUCUUCAUAGGGCAAUUGUGCCUGCUUAUUGACCCAAACCUGGGUGAUCUAUCCGUGACCAGGAUGAAGCUUGGGUGAAAUAAAGUGGAGGUCCGAACCGACUAAUGUUGAAGAAUCAGCGGUUGAGUUGUGGUUAGGGGUGAAAUGCCACUCGAACCCAGAGCUAGUUGGUUCUCCCCGAAAUGCGUUGAGGCGCAGUAAUUGACUGGACAUCAUGGUAUAAAGCACUGUUUAAGUGCGGGCCGCGAGAGCGGUACCAAAUCGAGGCAAACUCUGAAUACUUGAUAUGACCUCAAAAUAACAGGGGUCAAGGUCGGCUACUGAGACGAUGGUGGAUAAGCUUCAUCAUAGAGAGGGAAACAGCCCAGAUCACCAGCAAAGGCCCCUAAAUGACCGCUCAGUGAAAAAGAAGGUAGGGGUGCAGAGACUGCUAGGAGAUUUUCCUAGAAGCAGCCACCCUUGAAAUAGUGCGUAAUAGCUCACUGAUCGAGCGCUCUUGCGCCGAAGAUUAACGGGGCUAAGCGGUUUGUCGAAGCUGUGGGAUGUAAAAAUACAUCGGUAGGGGAGAGUUCCGCCAUAGACAGAAGCCUCCGCUUUAGCGGUUGUGGACGAAGAAGAAGGUAGAAUGUUGGCUAGAGUAACGCAAAAAUUGGUAAGAAUCCAAUGCCCCGAAAACCUAAGGGUUCCUACACAAGGUUCGUCAACAGAGGGUGAGUCUGGGCCUAUGAUCAGGCCAAAAGGCGUAGUCGAUGGACAACUGGUGAAUAUUCAUGUACUACCCCUUAUUAAUCCUGAGGGACAGAGGAUGCUAGGUUAUCCGAAAGAUGGUUAUCGGUUCAAUAACAUAAGGUGUCCUUGAUUUUCUAGGAUAAGAACGAGUAGAAAAAUGCGUCGAGCCAAUGUUCGAAUACUAGGAGCUACAACACAGAAGUAACCAGUGCCAUAAUCUCAGGAAAAUCUCGAAUGACGUUAAAUAAGAGGGUACCUAUACCCGAAACUAACACAGGUGGGUAGGUAGAGAAUACUUACAGGCACAAGACAACUCUCUCUAAUAAACUAGGUAAAAUAGCCCCGUCACAUCUAGAGAAGGGGUGCCUUCUCACAAAGGGUGUCGUAUUGACCAGGCCCGGACGAUAGUUUACCAGAAACACAGGUUUCUGCAAAGUCGUAAUACCAUGUAUAGGGGCUGACGCCUUCCCAGUGACGGAAGGUCAAGUAAGUUGGUGACAUGAUGACAGGGGAGCCGGCGAUCGAAGCCCCGGUGAACGGCGUUCGUAACUAUAACCGUCCUAAGGUAAUGAAAUUCCUUGCCGGGUAUGUUCUGACCCGCACGAAAGGCGUAACGAUCUGGGAAUUGUCUCGGAGAGAGGCUCUGUGAAAUCAACAUGUCUGUGAUUAUGCGGACUACCUGCACCUGACAGAAAGACCCUACGAAGCUUCAAUGCUCCCUGGGAUUGGCUCUGGGCCUUUAUUGCGCAACAUACGUUUAAGGCGAAGAAGGCCUCCUUCUUGGGGGGGGGGGGGCGAGCAACAAGUGAGAUACCACUCUGGAAGGUCUAGAAUUCUAGCCUUGUGUCAGGACGUACGGGCCAAGGGAUAGUCUCGGGUAGACAGUUUCUAUGGGGCGAAGGCCUCCUAAAAGGUAAUGGAGGCGUGCAAAGGUUUCCUCUGGCCGGACGGAGAUUGGCCCUCGACCGCAAAUGUAGAAGGGAGCUUGACUUCAAGACCCACCCGUCGAGAAGGGAGAAAAGUUGGCCUUAAUGAUCCGACGAUACCGAGUGGAAGUGUCGUGGCUCAACGGAUCAAAUUAACUCUAGGGAUAACAUGCUUAUCUUCCCCAGGAGCUCACAUUGACGGGAAGGUUUGGCACCUCGAUGUCGGCUCUUCGCCACCUGGGGCUGUAGUAUUUUCCAAGGGUUGGGUUGUUCGCUUCUUAAAGGUGUAGGUGAGCUGGGUUAAGAACGGCGUGAGAUAGUUCGGUCCAUAUUUGGUGUGGGCGUUAGAGCAUUGAGAGGACCUUUCUCUAGUUCGAGAGGACUGAGAAGGACACACCUCUGUUAUACCAGUUAUCAUGCCCAUGGUAAACUCUGGGUAGCCAAGUGCGGAGAAGAUGCUGAAAGAAUCUAAGUAGUAAGCCCACCCCAAGAUGAGUUCUCUCCUAUUUCGACUUCCCCAGAGCUUUCGGUAGCAUAGCCGAGACAGCGACGGGUUCUCUGCCCCUGCGCGGAUGGAGCGACAAAGUUUUUUUGAGAAUUCAAGAGAAGGUCACAGCGAGAUGAGCCGUUUAUAAUUACGAUAGGUGUCAAGUGGAAGUGCAGUGAUAUAUGCAGCUAAGGCAUCCUAACAGACCGAUAGACUUGAACCUU